Long non-coding RNA from Catharus ustulatus (Swainson's thrush), 1111 nucleotides. RefSeq lists it as uncharacterized. The transcript has 6 exons. NCBI's taxonomy places the organism in Eukaryota, Metazoa, Chordata, Aves, Passeriformes, Turdidae. The record is from RefSeq and is a predicted model, not a curated record.
GCUGUAAGGAUGAUUCAGAAUGGAACUGCAAAGCAAAGCAAAACCUUCUUUCUGCAUUCUGCAACUCAGAUGCAGAUGGAUGUUAUUAGAAAGGUUUUUAUUUUGAAUGUGCGCGGCUUGUCCACAUGGCUGAGAUUAGUGCUCAAUACUCAUAUAAUACUUUUCAUCCUCAAAAGGACUUUACAAGCUCCAGCCUUCAAAAUGUCCCCACAAGAUUAUUGGGGUUUUUUCCCCACUGAAUGAAUACUUGCAUAGUUAUAUAUCAAUUGAAUGAAGGACUCUGCAGAAUCUCAGGAAAGAUGUGGAGUGUAACUGAACUCUCUUGUGUGUCAGAAUACUUUGACAUUCCAUCUUAUCUCCCUCUUGUUUCCCUGGUAAAGGUAUCUGGCCCCACAAAGUACUCUGGAGAAAAAGGAAAAGCGAGUUAAUUUCUGGCUUUAUGACUACUAUACAGUGUUUCAGGAAGAAGAAUCUAACUUCAUACCUGAGUGCAGUGGUAAUGUAAGGGCUUGAGGUAACAUUGUUAACUACUCACACCAACGGAAUGAAGUUAUACAGCUCACUUCCACCUGAGAAAAUAACUAUUUUAACAGUUCGUGCAUCGCUAACAAGACACAGAUGUCACCAUUGGGCAAAAAGGGAAGAAGAAGCUUAGGCAGAUGUCGACAUAAGAUCUGGGCUACACCUUCCCAGUGGGGGUACCAGGAUAGAAGACCUCCCAUCAUUGCUUUUAGUCCUGAGGGUACAGCAGACCUGUACCUUGGUCACAAGCACAGAGGAAGUUUGGUAGUUGUUCCUGAGCUUCAGAAAUACACGCUUGACCUUCAAGAGUUGCUGCUAAUUUGUUCAGUGCUCACACAGUGUGUAGCAUAGGCCUUCUGCUAUGCCUCCUGGGUGCUGCUGCAGUACAGACACCUUUCCUUUUGUUUGGGCACCUUUAUCAAUACAGCUGAAGGGAACACUGUGUGGACUGUAAAUUCCUCUCCAAGAUCAUGUAAAUACUUGGAUGGUACAUGCUGUUGCUCCUAGUGUUAAUUUAACUAGCUAAAGCUGGUUUGCACACAUCUGCAGCUACAGUAGAAGUUCAAUGUUAAAUAUUUCCAAGUGUAGG